GCCAGGCGUGGUGGUGCACGCCUGUAAUCCCAGCUACUCGGGAGGCUGAGGCAAGAGAAUCACUUGAACUCAGGAGGCAGAGGUUCCAGUGAGCUGAGAUCACGCCACUGCACUCCAGCCUGGGUGACAGAGUGAGACCCUGUCUCAA
This 148-nucleotide small RNA is filed under the name Macaca fascicularis (crab-eating macaque). RNAcentral's name for it is "Metazoan signal recognition particle RNA (ENSMFAG00000058627.1)". It matches the Rfam family "Metazoan signal recognition particle RNA". Rfam says of the family: The signal recognition particle (SRP) is a universally conserved ribonucleoprotein. Lineage: Eukaryota; Metazoa; Chordata; Mammalia; Primates; Cercopithecidae. The record is from Rfam by way of RNAcentral. RNAcentral also lists the same sequence under 1 other name.